Molecule: ribosomal RNA, 460 nt
Filed under: uncultured bacterium
Lineage: Bacteria
Description: partial 16S ribosomal RNA
Rfam family: Bacterial small subunit ribosomal RNA
Source: RNAcentral
GAUGAACGCUGGCGGCAUGCUUUACACAUGCAAGUCGGACGGGAAGUGGUGUUUCCAGUGGCGGUCGGGUGAGUAACGCGUAAGAACCUGCCCUUGGGAGGGGAACAACAGCUGGAAACGGCUGCUAAUACCCCGUAGGCUGAGGAGCGAAAGGAGGAAUCCGCCCAAGGAGGGGCUCGCGUCUGAUUAGCUAGUUGGUGAGGUAAUAGCUUACCAAGGCCGUGAUCAGUAGCUGGUCCGAGAGGAUGAUCAGCCACACUGGGACUGAGACAAGGCCCAGAGUGCGACGGGAGGCAGAAGUGGGGAAUAGUGGACAAUGGGCGAAAGACUGAAGGAGCAAGACCGCGUGGGUGAAGAAGGUCUUCGGGGUGUAAAACACUGUGGGUGGGGAAGAAAAGAAGCAGGUUAAUACGUGGAGGGCAUGACGGUAACUAAAGAAGAAGCAACGGCUAACUUCGUG